UCAGGGUUAGUUUAGCUGGUAAAACACUGGGUUUUGGCCCCGGCGUCGCUAGGUUCGAAGCCUGCACCCUGAU
Molecule: transfer RNA, 73 nt
Filed under: Caulobacter phage Ccr29
Lineage: Duplodnaviria; Heunggongvirae; Uroviricota; Caudoviricetes; Jeanschmidtviridae
Also listed under: 1 other name
Description: tRNA-Gln
Rfam family: tRNA
About the family: Transfer RNA (tRNA) molecules are approximately 80 nucleotides in length. Their secondary structure includes four short double-helical elements and three loops (D, anti-codon, and T loops). Further hydrogen bonds mediate the characteristic L-shaped molecular structure. tRNAs have two regions of fundamental functional importance: the anti-codon, which is responsible for specific mRNA codon recognition, and the 3' end, to which the tRNAs corresponding amino acid is attached (by aminoacyl-tRNA synthetases). tRNAs cope with the degeneracy of the genetic code in two manners: having more than one tRNA (with a specific anti-codon) for a particular amino acid; and 'wobble' base-pairing, i.e. permitting non-standard base-pairing at the 3rd anti-codon position.
Source: RNAcentral